Long non-coding RNA from Populus euphratica (Euphrates poplar), 965 nucleotides. RefSeq lists it as uncharacterized. Lineage: Eukaryota; Viridiplantae; Streptophyta; Magnoliopsida; Malpighiales; Salicaceae. The transcript has 2 exons. The record is from RefSeq and is a predicted model, not a curated record.
AUCCAACGUAUGAAUCCUCGAAGCCACGGAACACAAAUUUAUCUUCCCAUUCUACCCUUCACAACCUUCUUAAAUUACCACCUUCCCUUCUCUCACUGCAUCAACAAUGGCUUCCCUUGACAUCCUCGCACUAUACCUUCUCUCUCUCCUCCUCUUAUCAAGAACCCAUCUUUCUCUCCCCCUGACGAUCACAGACAUCCAUGAACUUCUCCCUCAGUAUGGCCUGCCACGUGGCUUACUCCCAGACAAUGUAGAAUCCUACACGCUAUCACCAUCUGAUGGGACCUUUGAAGUCAAACUUAAGAACUCAUGUUAUGUUCACUUCGAUGAGGUUUGUAAUAUGGUAAAGAGAUCAAAGGGAAGUUGAGUUAUGGUUCUGUGCAUUAUGUGUCAGGGAUUCAGGCAAAGAAGCUUUCUGUUUGGUUGUCUUUUACUGGGAUUGAAGUUAGCAAGGUUGAUAGUGGUAUGAUUAAGUUCUUUGUAGGUUCUGUUUCUGAGGAGUUGGCUGCUAAGCAGUUUGAGGUUGUUCCUGCUUGUAAGAGGAAGGUUGGUGGGCUAAGGGCAGAGUUGGAGUCCAUGUGAAGGUGGAAGCAGGCCAAAUCUUCUCAUGUUUUGCCUGCUUACUUUGAAGUUCUAGAGCAUAAUCUUUGAGAAAUUUGAAGCAAAUUAAUGCAUUGAUAGAUACUCUCAACAUUUAUGAUGUGAAUGUGAUGCUUUCUAUUAUUUUUCUAUUUUCUCGUCGGGAGCUCAUCUUCUGCUAAGAAAUUAAUUGAAUUAGCAUAAUUGCAGAAACUAUUGUAGAUGAAAUAGUAGAUCAAACUAUAGGGAUUAAGCCAUUCGGGCAUGUCUUAAGUACAGGUCCAAGGCCAUAUUUUAGUUGGCAUUUAUGGACUAGCUGGUAUGUGAUACAGCCUGAGGCAUUAGUUUGUGAAAUCUUGAAGAUAAAGCUCUCGUGUGAUUUCUCA